RNAcentral lists this ribosomal RNA (253 nucleotides) under uncultured bacterium. Its description in RNAcentral is "partial 16S ribosomal RNA". It matches the Rfam family "Bacterial small subunit ribosomal RNA", at positions 524 to 776 of the family's 1533-position model. The record is from RNAcentral.
UACGAAGGUGGCAAGCGUUGUUCGGAUUUACUGGGCGUAAAGCGUGCGUAGGCGGUUUGACAAGUCAGGAGUGAAAUCCCAGGGCUUAACCCUGGAAUUGCUUUUGAAACUGUUUUACUUGAGUCCCGGAGAGGUUGACGGAAUUCCCAGUGUAGAGGUGAAAUUCGCAGAUAUUGGGAGGAACACCAGUGGCGUAAGCGGUCAACUGGACGGGUACUGACGCUGAGGUACGAAAGCAUGGGUAGCAAACAGG